GCAGUCGAGCGGACAGAUGGGAGCUUGCUCCCUGAUGUUAGCGGCGGACGGGUGAGUAACACGUGGGUAACCUGCCUGUAAGACUGGGAUAACUCCGGGAAACCGGGGCUAAUACCGGAUGGUUGUUUGAACCGCAUGGUUCAGACAUAAAAGGUGGCUUCGGCUACCACUUACAGAUGGACCCGCGGCGCAUUAGCUAGUUGGUGAGGUAACGGCUCACCAAGGCGACGAUGCGUAGCCGACCUGAGAGGGUGAUCGGCCACACUGGGACUGAGACACGGCCCAGACUCCUACGGGAGGCAGCAGUAGGGAAUCUUCCGCAAUGGACGAAAGUCUGACGGAGCAACGCCGCGUGAGUGAUGAAGGUUUUCGGAUCGUAAAGCUCUGUUGUUAGGGAAGAACAAGUGCCGUUCAAAUAGGGCGGCACCUUGACGGUACCUAACCAGAAAGCCACGGCUAACUACGUGCCAGCAGCCGCGGUAAUACGUAGGUGGCAAGCGUUGUCCGGAAUUAUUGGGCGUAAAGGGCUCGCAGGCGGUUUCUUAAGUCUGAUGUGAAAGCCCCCGGCUCAACCGGGGAGGGUCAUUGGAAACUGGGGAACUUGAGUGCAGAAGAGGAGAGUGGAAUUCCACGUGUAGCGGUGAAAUGCGUAGAGAUGUGGAGGAACACCAGUGGCGAAGGCGACUCUCUGGUCUGUAACUGACGCUGAGGAGCGAAAGCGUGGGGAGCGAACAGGAUUAGAUACCCUGGUAGUCCACGCCGUAAACGAUGAGUGCUAAGUGUUUAGGGGGUUUCCGCCCCUUAGUGCUGCAGCUAACGCAUUAAGCACUCCGCCUGGGGGAGUACGGUCGCAAGACUGAAACUCAAAGGAAUUGACGGGGGCCCGCACAAGCGGUGGAAGCAUGUGGGUUUAAUUCGAAGCAACGCGAAGAACCUUACCAGGUCUUGACAUCCUCUGACAAUCCUAGAAGAUAGGACGUCCCCUUCGGGGGCAGAGUGACAGGUGGUGGCAUGGUUGUCGUCAGCUCGUGUCCUGAAGAUGUUUGGGUUAAGUCCCGCAACGAGCGCAACCCUUGGAUCUUAGUUGCC
RNAcentral lists this ribosomal RNA (1089 nucleotides) under Bacillus sp. (in: firmicutes). Its description in RNAcentral is "bacterial SSU rRNA". It matches the Rfam family "Bacterial small subunit ribosomal RNA", at positions 57 to 1119 of the family's 1533-position model. The record is from RNAcentral. Lineage: Bacteria; Bacillati; Bacillota; Bacilli; Caryophanales; Bacillaceae.